Cyprinus carpio (common carp) is the source of this 210-nucleotide long non-coding RNA. RefSeq lists it as uncharacterized. The record is from RefSeq and is a predicted model, not a curated record. NCBI's taxonomy places the organism in Eukaryota, Metazoa, Chordata, Actinopteri, Cypriniformes, Cyprinidae. The transcript is spliced from 3 exons.
GCACGACAUGCACUGCCUCAUCCGUUACAUGCUGGAGCCAGACCCUGACAUAAGGCCAGAUAUCUACCAGGUGUCAUAUUUCGCCUUUAAACUGGCACGGAAAAAGAAUGCCCAGUACAGAAUAUCCACAAUUCACUCAUUCCAGCAAAACUCCCAGAUCCAAUCAGAGCCAGUGAAGCUGUGGCCAAGAAGAGCCAAAACAAAGCCAGG